Molecule: long non-coding RNA, 720 nt
Organism: Marmota flaviventris (yellow-bellied marmot)
Lineage: Eukaryota; Metazoa; Chordata; Mammalia; Rodentia; Sciuridae
Source: RefSeq, a predicted model, not a curated record
CGGGCGGGGGCGCGCUGGCAGGGGACGGUGCCCGCUGUCUCGAGCUGGCUCUCCCCUGCCAAGCAGUGCUCUGGUGGGGCAGAGGUGAGCCGCGUUCGGAGAAGGGACGCUGGCCUCGCUGAAAGCCAGGAAGUCCAGGUUAUCAUAUAUUCUACUGGGGCCCAAGAAGUUGCCAAUGUAGACCACAGAUAACAGAUGAAGGAAGAGCCCGGCUGAGUCUCCUGGCCCGACACUCUCUUGUUACAGAUAAGCCAACUGAGGCUUGGGAAGGCGACUCCCAGUCCGGCCAUCUCUCCCCCUCUCCAGGCUCCUUCCUGACCCACAUGGAUCAAAUCCUUGGCCUCCCUGGACCUAAGCCCAUGCAUGGUGCAGUAAAGAAAUACCUCAGGCUGGAGCCCCGUACCCUGCCUCAGAUUCCCUGUGUCUGCCUUUCUGGCUCCGUCUUCUUCCCGGCUCCAGCUCCUGCCCCCAGAGGUCUUGGGCUAUCACAGCUGUUUGCCCCAGACAGCCCCAGGAGGCCUAGCCCUAUUAUGCCCCCGCCAAAGCAACAUCUGGGCAAAGUCCACCAGUCUCCAGGCCUCUUCUCUUGUUUUCUGUCUGGAGAUGAAGGGGGCUCUUCCUGGGCCCCUGGGAGUGAGGAUUAGGAGGUUUACAACGUGUCUGUCCUCUAAGUUUGGAAAGAGGCAAUAAAUUCAGCUUCAGAUCUGCUGCUGUCCCCAA